RNAcentral lists this ribosomal RNA (694 nucleotides) under Methylobacterium sp. Its description in RNAcentral is "bacterial SSU rRNA". It matches the Rfam family "Bacterial small subunit ribosomal RNA", at positions 91 to 817 of the family's 1533-position model. Lineage: Bacteria; Pseudomonadati; Pseudomonadota; Alphaproteobacteria; Hyphomicrobiales; Methylobacteriaceae. The record is from RNAcentral.
GUCAGCGGCAGACGGGUGAGUAACACGUGGGAACGUACCCUUUGGUUCGGAAUAACGCUGGGAAACUAGCGCUAAUACCGGAUACGCCCUUUUGGGGAAAGGCUUGCUGCCGAAGGAUCGGCCCGCGUCUGAUUAGCUAGUUGGUGGGGUAAUGGCCUACCAAGGCGACGAUCAGUAGCUGGUCUGAGAGGAUGAUCAGCCACACUGGGACUGAGACACGGCCCAGACUCCUACGGGAGGCAGCAGUGGGGAAUAUUGGACAAUGGGCGCAAGCCUGAUCCAGCCAUGCCGCGUGAGUGAUGAAGGCCUUAGGGUUGUAAAGCUCUUUUGUCCGGGACGAUAAUGACGGUACCGGAAGAAUAAGCCCCGGCUAACUUCGUGCCAGCAGCCGCGGUAAUACGAAGGGGGCUAGCGUUGCUCGGAAUCACUGGGCGUAAAGGGCGCGUAGGCGGCCAUUCAAGUCGGGGGUGAAAGCCUGUGGCUCAACCACAGAAUUGCCUUCGAUACUGUUUGGCUUGAGUUUGGUAGAGGUUGGUGGAACUGCGAGUGUAGAGGUGAAAUUCGUAGAUAUUCGCAAGAACACCAGUGGCGAAGGCGGCCAACUGGACCAAUACUGACGCUGAGGCGCGAAAGCGUGCGGAGCAAACAGGAUUAGAUACCCCUGGGUAGUCCACGCCGUAAAACGAUGAAAUGC